Molecule: ribosomal RNA, 400 nt
Filed under: uncultured bacterium
Lineage: Bacteria
Description: bacterial SSU rRNA
Rfam family: Bacterial small subunit ribosomal RNA
Source: RNAcentral
GACGAACGCUGGCGGCGUGCCUAACACAUGCAAGUCGUACGGGACCGGGGGCAACUCCGGUUCAGUGGCAGACGGGUGCGUAACACGUGAGGAACCUGUCCGGUGGCGGGGGAUAGCCGGCCCAACGGCCGGGUAAUACCGCAUACGCUCGUUCGGGGGCAUCCCUGGGCGAGGAAAGCAGCCGCAAGGUUGCGCCGACGGAGGGCCUCGCGACCUAUCAGCUUGUUGGCGGGGUAACGGCCCACCAAGGCGACGACGGGUAGCUGGUCUGAGAGGAUGAUCAGCCACAUUGGGACUGAGACACGGCCCAGACUCCUACGGGAGGCAGCAGGUGGGGAAUAUUGCGCAAUGGCCGCAAGGCUGACGCAGCGACGCCGCGUGUGGGAUGACGGUCUUCGGA